Molecule: non-coding RNA, 261 nt
Organism: Tinamus guttatus (white-throated tinamou)
Lineage: Eukaryota; Metazoa; Chordata; Aves; Tinamiformes; Tinamidae
Source: RefSeq, a predicted model, not a curated record
CCUUCCCCGCGGCGCUGGCCGAGGGCCGCUUCCGCGCGCACCUGCGCGAGGUGGCCCUCAUGCUCACGUCCCGCCACCAGGACAAGUACAUGCUCUUCAACCUGUCCGAGAAGCGCCGCGACAUCGCCCGCCUCAACCCCAGGGUGCAGGAUUUUGGGUGGCCGGAGCUGCACGCGCCGCCCCUGGACAAGCUGUGCUCCGUGUGCAAGGCCAUGGAGGGGUGGCUGCGCGCGCACCCCCAGCACGUGGCCGUGCUGCACU